RNAcentral lists this ribosomal RNA (397 nucleotides) under uncultured bacterium. RNAcentral describes it as "partial 16S ribosomal RNA". It matches the Rfam family "Bacterial small subunit ribosomal RNA", at positions 523 to 918 of the family's 1533-position model. The record is from RNAcentral.
AUACGUAGGGGGCGAGCGUUGUCCGGAAUGAUUGGGCGUAAAGGGCGCGUAGGCGGCCCGGUAAGUCUGGAGUGAAAGUCCUGUUUUUAAGAUGGGAAUUGCUUUGGAUACUGUCGGGCUUGAGUGCAGGAGCGGUAAGUGGAAUUCCCAGUGUAGCGGUGAAAUGCGUAGAGAUUGGGAGGAACACCAGUGGCGAAGGCGACUUACUGGACUGUAACUGACGCUGAGGCGCGAAAGUGUGGGGAGCAAACAGGAUUAGAUACCCUGGUAGUCCACACUGUAAACGAUGAAUGCUAGGUGUAGGGGGUAUCGACCCCUUCUGUGCCGCAGUCAACACAAUAAGCAUUCCGCCUGGGGAGUACGGCCGCAAGGUUGAAACUCAAAUGAAUUGACGGGG